AUUGAACGCUGGCGGCAGGCCUAACACAUGCACGUCGCGCGGAGCGGCGGACGGGUGAGUAAUGCCUAGGAAUCUGCCUGGUCGUGGGGGAUAACGUCCGGAAACGGGCGCUAAUACCGCAUCCUAUCAGAUGAGCCUAGGUCGGAUUAGCUAGUUGGGGGGGUAAAGGCCUACCAAGGCGACGAUCCGUAACUGGUCUGAGAGGAUGAUCAGUCACACUGGAACUGAGACACGGUCCAGACUCGUACGGGAGGCAGCAGUGGGGAAUAUUGGACAAUGGGCGAAAGCCGGAUCCAGCCAUGCCGCGGGUGUGAAGAAGGUCUUCGGAUUGGAAAGCACGUUAAGUUGGGAGGCGUUACCAACAGAAUAAGCACCGGCUAACUUCGUGCCAGACGCCGCGGUAAUAC
RNAcentral lists this ribosomal RNA (407 nucleotides) under uncultured bacterium. Its description in RNAcentral is "partial 16S ribosomal RNA". It matches the Rfam family "Bacterial small subunit ribosomal RNA", at positions 30 to 526 of the family's 1533-position model. The record is from RNAcentral.